This is a non-coding RNA of Paramuricea clavata, 1684 nucleotides long. NCBI's taxonomy places the organism in Eukaryota, Metazoa, Cnidaria, Anthozoa, Malacalcyonacea, Plexauridae. The record is from the annotation of a GenBank genome assembly.
AGCAAAUUUAUAGCCUAUAUAAAUUUAAGUUAAUGAGACAAGGUGUGAUGGUAAGAUGAGGAGGUAGAUAUGGUUUAUAUCAACCUAAUCUUUGACAGUUAGGUCAAAGGUCUUGACAGAUAGGUCAAAGAUCAUCUUCUGCCAGUUAGCACACAUUCACGUGAACAAACCGUGAAACACACUGUGAACCAAUUGAAAACCUUGUACGACUCUGUUCUGGGCUUUGACCAAUCAUAGGGCACAACACAGCCCAUCCUAAUUGGCACAUAACAUGCACGAGUUCAUGCAAAAUAACGUAAUUUACUCUGAGAUGUCGACAGAGUAACAUUAUCGAAAGAUUUUCAAAAUAUAACUCUACCGCGGGCAAGCGCUUUUUACUCUUCUGGUGGACAAAGGAAUAUGUUGGCUCAAGUACCGAUAUGUGAUUCAGUGAGACGUAGUUUAUUCAAACAUAACUCUGCCACGGCCCACGGGCAAGGACUUGUACUCGUCUGGUGGACAAAAGAAUACGUUGGCUCAAGUAUCGAUGUACGAUCCAGUGAGACGCAGUUUAUGCUGUUUAUCCAAUAUAACUCUACCGUGGUCAAGUGCUUUAACUCUUCUGGUGGCCUAAUGAAUACGUUGGCUCAAAUACCGAUGAUGUUAUUUCCAUUUAACGCUGGGGGAAUUAUAACAAGAUCGAGAGGCUACAUAAACACGAAAUAUUCAACUAGCGUACAUGCUUAAGUGAAACGGAUAUAUUUGGUGCGUAUAUUUAAAAGUUGCGGCGAAUUCACACGUCUGUUUCGUAUUAAUUUACGCUUUUCAAACCAACCAAAAUGCUUUAACUUCGUCUAUUUUAUCACAGAAUUUGGGUAUAUAUAGUAAUUGUCGAGCGCCAAAUGUAUCGACUAUUCACGCAAAUCGAUCUCAUCUGUAUUUCAAUGUUAAUUUUUUAAUAUUAAUAUCACCUUGAGGUUAUAUUGGGCCUCUGAUUUCGUAUUGCGCUUCCCAAACCAACCAAAAAUCUACUAAAUUCGUCUAUUUUAUAACGUCAUUUACAUUCUGGUGUAUUAUUUCUCGAUCAAAAAUUCCAAUGACAUAUUACCACCUUGAGGUUAGCCGCUGAUUAGACUUCAGAUUACGCCUCAGAUUCGGCGUUGGAUUGGGUUUUCAAUCAGGUCUUACGUUGAACUGUAUUCAAUCGUUCAAAAGUGGACUUAUAAACUUCUUUUUCAGAGCGCAUGUUAAUAGUUCACCUGCAUCUAAGGACGUAAACGAGCUUAUACUGCAUUCAGUUAUAAAAUUUGCAUAGCCAAAAAUCUCAAGUUUGAUUGGUUACAUAAAGGAUAUGUGCUAAUAAGGUGCAUAAUAGCGACCUAAGUGUAGAUUUUACUGUUAGGUACAGAUGAAGAUAAUUAUAUUAUUCAAUAUAUAGAGAGUAAUACAUGGGUUCGCGGAAAUAGCAGAUAAAGAUAUAUAAUUAUGUUGUUAUUAACUGAUCUUAAAAGUAUAGAUCAUUCCACUUUGAAGUAAUUACCGUACUACAAGAUUUAAAAGGACAUGUCACAAUUCGACGUACAUAAAAUUAAUGUUCAAACGUACGUUGUACCAGGACAAAAAAAUUCCAUUCGCUUUACACGUUGCAUGAAACAAAUUUGGUAGAAUUUGCAUGAAUAUAUGAACAGAACCGUCUACUAAAGAA